RNAcentral lists this unclassified non-coding RNA (181 nucleotides) under uncultured fungus. RNAcentral describes it as "sequence contains ITS1". Lineage: Eukaryota; Fungi. The record is from RNAcentral.
UUGUUGCGAUUUCGCUAUGACGCCGACGCGCAGAGGCAGGGUGAGGGGGCCUCCGGGGGCGCCGCCGCCCGGUGCGGGCAGGGUCGCCCCCGAAGCAACAGGUGCGGUGCACAGGGGGUGGGAGGUCGGGCGCGGGGGCCCUCACUCGGUAAUGAUCCCUCCGCAGGUUCACCUACGGAGA